Molecule: ribosomal RNA, 777 nt
Filed under: uncultured Neocallimastigales
Lineage: Eukaryota; Fungi; Neocallimastigomycota; Neocallimastigomycetes; Neocallimastigales
Description: partial large subunit ribosomal RNA
Rfam family: Eukaryotic large subunit ribosomal RNA
Source: RNAcentral
GUAACACGCUGUGACUAGCAUAUCCAAUAAGCGGAGGAAAAGAAACUAACAAGGAUUCCCCUAGUAACGGCGAGUGAAGCGGGAAGAGCUCAAAUUUGAAAUCUUAAAGGGUUUCCCUUUACGAAUUGUAGUUUAAAGAAGUGUUUUCUGUUGAGGUUUUGGUAAAAGUUCUUUGGAAUAGGACAUCAUAGAGGGUGAGAAUCCCGUAUUUGACCUUUACUUUCAACUUUGUGAUACACUUUCAAAGAGUCGGAUUGUUUGGGAAUGCAGUCCAAAAUGGGUGGUAAAUUUCAUCUAAAGCUAAAUAUUGGCGAAGAGACCGAUAGCGAACAAGUACCGUGAGGGAAAGAUGAAAAGAACUUUGAAAAGAGAGUUAAACAGUACGUGAAAUUGUCAAAAGGGAAGCGUUUGACACCAGUGUUGUUUUUCUGAAAAUCAAUUAAAGAACUGUUUAUGCUAAGUUGUUUAGACUUUAUCAGCUAUCUGUUUAGUUUUGAGCUUUUCUUUAAUGCACUUUUCAGUUAACAAGUCAACAUCAAUUUCUUUUGCUGUAAAAAAGCUUGAGGAAGGUGGCUUGAGAUUCGUCUUAAGUGUUUAUAGCCUCUUGCCUAUGCAGUCGGAGAGAUUGAGGUCUGCAGCGUAGAUCCUUCGGGGCUAAAUGCAUUUGUGCUAAGUUAUAGCAUUUUAUAGACAACUUGUUGACUAUGAUUUGUCUUGUAGCUUACUCGCUUAUGUUAUUUUACCUACGCUUAGGAUGUUGAGUCGUAGAGCACGCAG